UAAUGAGGGAAGGAAAAGAAACUAACUAGGAUUUUCUUAGUAGCGGCGAGCGAAAAGAAAUCUAGUUCAGCACUGAGUUAUUUUGUUAUUUUAACAAAUAUAAGAUGCAGUGUAUGGAAUAUCUAUAAUCUAGUAUGAUAAAUUAACAGUUUAAGUCCUUCUUAAACGAGGCCAUUUACCCAUAGAGGGUGCCAGGCCCGUAUGACGUUAAUGAUUACUAGAAGAUAUUUCCUAAGAGUCGUGUUGCUUGAUAGUGCAGCACUAAUUGGGUGGUAAACUCCAUCUAAAACUAAAUAUAACCAUAAGACCGAUAGCAAACAAGUACCGUGAGGGAAAGUUGAAAAGAACUCUGAAUAGAGAGUUAAAUAGUACGUGAAACUGCUUAGAGGUUAAGCCCGAUGAACCUGAAUAUCCAAUAUGAAAAAUUCAUCAUUAAUAAUAUAUUAAAAUUAUAUUAAUAUAUGAAUAAUGUGCACUUUUUUCAUAUAAGGACAUUGUAAUCUGUUAAUAUAUUAAAAUUUAUCAUAAGUUCCGCUUGAAUAGAUUAUGUUUUAUUAUAAUUUACUUUAUAAUAUACAUAAAAUUCAAUUUAAAUGCGGUAACAGAUAAAUUAUUGACAGAUUUUUAUAUAUAACGCUUUAUAUAUAUUUUUUAUAUGUUAUAAUGUUAUUGUAAUCAAUGUAUUACUAUUUCUAUUAUAUGCGUUUAUAUGAUUAACAAUGCUAUAGAUUUAGGAUACCUUCGGGACCCGUCUUGAAACACGGACCAAGGAGUCUAACAUGUGUGCAAGUCAUUGGAUAUAUAAAAUCUAAAGGCGUAAUUAACUUAACUGUUUUAUAUAUGGGAUCAAUUAUAUAUAUAAUUUAUAUAUAUUCCAUCCCGGGGCGUUCUAUAUAGUUAUACAUUUUAAUAUAUUUUAUAUAUUAUUUAUGUCCCUAACUGGAGCGUACCUUGAGCAUAUAUGUUGUGACCCGAAAGAUGGUGAACUAUACCUGAUCAGGUUGAAGUCAGGGGAAACCCUGAUGGAGGACCGAAGCAGUUCUGACGUGCAAAUCGAUUGUCAGAAUUGGGUAUAGCGGCGUAAGACUAAUCGAACCAUCUAGUAGCUGGUUCCCUCCGAAGUUUCCCUCAGGAUAGCUGGUGCAUUUAAUUAUUAUUUAAAAUAAUCUUAUCUGGUAAAGCGAAUGAUUAGAGGCCUUAGGGCCGAAACGACCUUAACCUAUUCUCAAACUUUAAAUGGGUAAGAACCUCACCUUUCUUGAUAUGAAGGUCGAGGUUGUGAUAUAUUGUGCCCAGUGGGCCACUUUUGGUAAGCAGAACUGGCGCUGUGGGAUGAACCAAACGUGAUGUUAAGGCGCCCAAAUUAACAACUCAUACUGAUACCAUGAAAGGCGUUGCUUGCUUAAAACAGCAGGACGGUGGACAUGGAAGUCGUAAUCCGCUAAGGAGUGUGUAACAACUCACCUGCCGAAGCAACUAGCCCUUAAAAUGGAUGGCGCUCAAGUUGUAUGCCUAUACAUCACCGCUAAAAUAUAUGAUUUAUAGAACUUGUUUUCUAUAAAUUUUGAAAUUUUAGUGAGUAGGAGGGUACAAUGGUGUGCGUAGAAGUGUUUGGUGUAAACCUGCAUGGAGCCGCCAUUGGCACAGAUCUUGGUGGUAGUAGCAAAUAAUCGAAUGAGACCUUGGAGGACUGAAGUGGAGAAGGGUUUCGUGUGAACAGUGGUUGAUCACGAGUUAGUCGGUCCUAAGUUCAAGGCGAAAGCCGAAAAUUGUAAGUUAAUUAUAUGAUAAAAUCAUAUUAUUAUUAAUUAUAUACACUUACAUAUUUUUGAACGAAAGGGAAUACGGUUCCAAUUCCGUAACCUGUUGAGUAUACGUUUGUUAUUAAAAAUGGGCUUUUAUGCUCAUCCUGGUAACAGAAACAACCAUAAAGAAGCCGUCGAGAAAUAUCGAAAGAGUUUUCUUUUCUGUUUUAUAGUCGUACUACCAUGGAAGUCUUUCGAAGAGAGAUAUGGUAGAUGGACUAGAAGAGCAUGGCAUUUACUGCUGUGUCGAUAUUUUCUCCUCGGACCUUGAAAAUUUAUGGUGGGGUCACGCAAAACUUCUUAACAGGCCGUACCGAUAUCCGCAGCUGGUCUCCAAGGUGAAGAGUCUCUAGUCGAUAGAAUA
This 2169-nucleotide ribosomal RNA is filed under the name Nusa infumata. Its description in RNAcentral is "eukaryotic LSU rRNA". It matches the Rfam family "Eukaryotic large subunit ribosomal RNA", at positions 44 to 1897 of the family's 3401-position model. The record is from RNAcentral. Lineage: Eukaryota; Metazoa; Arthropoda; Insecta; Diptera; Asilidae.